Molecule: ribosomal RNA, 464 nt
Filed under: Haptophyta environmental samples
Lineage: Eukaryota; Haptophyta
Description: SSU rRNA
Rfam family: Eukaryotic small subunit ribosomal RNA
Source: RNAcentral
GCGCGUAAAUUGCCCGAAUCCUGACACAGGGAGGUAGUGACAAGAAAUAACAAUACAGGGCCUUUUUGGUCUUGUAAUUGGAAUGAGUACAAUUUACAUCUCUUCACGAGGAUCAAUUGGAGGGCAAGUCUGGUGCCAGCAGCCGCGGUAAUUCCAGCUCCAAUAGCGUAUAUUAAAGUUGUUGCAGUUAAAACGCUCGUAGUCGGAUUUCGGGGCGGGGCGGCCGGUCUGCCGAUGGGUACGCACUGGUCGCCGCGCUCUUCUUGCCGGAGGCGCGGCCUACUCUUCACUGAGCGGGCCGUGAACUCGGCACGUUUACUUUGAAAAAAUCAGAGUGUUUCAAGCAGGCAGCUCGCUCUUGCAUGGAUUAGCAUGGGAUAAUAAAAUAGGACUUUGGUGCUAUUUUGUUGGUUUCGAACACCAGAGUAAUGAUUAACAGGGACAGUCAGGGGCACUCGUAUUCC